This 712-nucleotide long non-coding RNA is filed under the name Ananas comosus (pineapple). RNAcentral describes it as "long non-coding RNA (ACOM_LNC042000)". The record is from RNAcentral. Lineage: Eukaryota; Viridiplantae; Streptophyta; Magnoliopsida; Poales; Bromeliaceae.
ACUCCCGUAUAUUAUAUAUAGGAAUAUAAUCCUAUUCCUAAUAAUAUAAUGACAAUUAAGGAUAAGUAUAAAUCUAGAUUUAAAUUUAUCCUUUCCUUAAUUGAUUAGAUCGAUCAAAUCCUAAUUUGAUUCGACUUUAUUUUUAUAUUAAUUUGAUCUUAUCAAAUUAAUAAUACAACAUUUGCACAUAAGUCCUCUUAUAAUUUACUAACUAUUAGUAAGUCCUCUCUUAUAGCAUUUACACCUUAAUACCACUAAUUUGUAACAAUUACAAAUUAGUCCAAUUAUCAACAUAUUGACAAUUAGAUCCUCCGGCGAUUCAAUAAUCGCGAUCUAGCUAUCCGAUCAACUACAACCUCUUAUGUGUGUGACCCCAUAGGUUCUAUUCUAUCUGGUAGUGAGAUAUAUUUUGAUGACUAUCAACAAUAUCAUUAAAACUCCUUUCAAUGGAUCGAAACAAUUCCAACUCAGGCCAACGAGAAUUAUCGAUCAUCUAGAUAAUUCUCAUGAGUCUCACAAUCCACCAGUGACGCCUAGCAGCAUGUAGUGGCAUUCCAGUAGAAUAGAAUAAUGAACCUCUUGGUGCAGUUACCGUGUGAUACAAUCCUUCUAUCAUGAGUCCCGACUAGACGGAGGUUAUGGAAUAACUCGUCAAACCCCAUCGUCUGUCAUAUGUUAAAUUUAUUCGACUCGAGUUUCUAAUAUCGGAAAU